This 253-nucleotide ribosomal RNA is filed under the name uncultured bacterium. Its description in RNAcentral is "partial 16S ribosomal RNA". It matches the Rfam family "Bacterial small subunit ribosomal RNA", at positions 524 to 776 of the family's 1533-position model. The record is from RNAcentral.
GACGUAGGGUGCGAGCGUUGUCCGGAUUUAUUGGGCGUAAAGCGUCCGCAGGUGGCGAUGUAAGUCUGCUGUUAAAGAGUGAGGCUCAACCUCAUAAGAGCAGUGGAAACUACAUAGCUAGAGUGCGGUAGGGGCAGAGGGAAUUCCUGGUGUAGCGGUGAAAUGCGUAGAGAUCAGGAAGAACACCGGUGGCGAAAGCGCUCUGCUAGGCCGCAACUGACACUGAGGGACGAAAGCUAGGGGAGCAAAUGGG